AUGGUGGUGGUGGUGGUGAUAAUGAUGUCACCAAGUUUCGAGCCCAGGUUCUCUGUCUCCAGAACAGACUUCUCUCUUCUCCCUAAUGUAAGCUCAGUAAUCUUUCUGUCAUAGAGAGUGCCAGUAAGAUCUUUGCUGAGUCUUAUCUUUGGAAAAGUAGGGCUGGCCUAGAACAGUUAGGCUCUAGUUACUUCUUGAGGACCAUUUUGUGUCUGGGGAAAACAUCUCCCUUGUAGACCUUCUCUGAGCUUGGAAAAUGGGCCAGGGUCCUGAAGGCAGUCAUUGAGUCUGCCAUCUUCUGGGUCUGAAUAUUUACCAAGGGUUGGAAGUGGUAGGCUUUUUUGAAUUGGUUCCCAUGGUUCUUUUGCUAUUGGGUUCAAAUGUUAGAGGUGCUGGAAGGCAGAAUGUCAGCUGGUGUCAGGUUGCCUAGGUUUAAAAUUCUGGCCGUAUACCUGCUGGCCACCUGAUCCUGGAGAGUUGCAUAACCUCCCCAGACUGUUUAUUCCUCUGCAAAAUGAGAAAAUGGGAAGUCUUGGAGGUUCUCAGGAGAAACAUCAAGUAGGGGACACUGUAGCAUAUAGUCAGUCCACAAGUACAUGUCACCUGCAUCAAGAGGAGGUUCAUUUUCUUCAACGAAGAUGACUUGUCUACCUGGAAGCUUUUUUGCAAGGGGGAGAAAUCCUUAAAACAAACCUGAGAGUGUUGGGUUGUUCCAAACCUGUUUUGUUUUAAGGAUUCCAGACAGACUUAAGGUAGCAUUUUUGUUACUGGUUUUAUUGUUCUGAACGGCCUCAAAAGGUAUCUUUGAAGCUCCAAAGGUAACAAAUAAGGCCUCUGGUGGGAGCCAUCAUGUAGUAAAGUCUUAGCAAUGAACUGAGCUGCCCCGCUUCAGGUUUUACAGUCACUGUCUCCCAGCAGGCCUCGCCAGGAAUGGUAGACAGUACCAUGCCUGCCGCUCUGAGGGCUUCCAGAAAGAGAAGGCAGAUAGGGUGACUCAAAGGGAGCCAUUUCCUCCCCAAGCCCACGCACCUCAGCCUGCAGGCUGCACCCUGUCAAGACCCUUCUACCACACGCACACACUGAAGCACAGCUCAGAGUCCUGAGAGGCUCACAGCCUCUUUUGCUAGGAAAUCUGACUGCAGCCUGCCGUUCUGGAUCUGAGCUAAAUUCCCUCCCCAGCAACAGCCAGCCCAGCAGCAGCACUUUGUCAGAAAGCAAUCUUCCAGCUUGUGGCUGGCAGCUUGCAUGCUGGCUGCAGGGUCUUCAGCCUGCCCACUAGCCCUGCAGGGCAAGGCUUGUCCAAAUAUUUGGCUUGAACCUGCUCUCUGAUUCAUCCUGUGCAGAAACCUCUGUAAUUUCAUCUACCGUGUGACUCAGACAGGAGCUGAACACAAGUGCUAUGUACCAGCAGCCGAAGCCUGCACGGAGGGCAGGCCGGCAUCCAGUGCCCACAGCGCCCAGCCUGGCCUCCUGGGCUGGGCGAGAGGUAUAGGCUCUCUCCAGCCUGGCUGGCCGGAGAUUAAAUCUCUUUAGUCUGAGAUGAUUAAUGGAGCCCCAAACACGCCUCAGCAUAGGGUGUAAAAUGCACCUUGUUCCUUUUCCAAGUCCUCCCCCCUUUUUAAAAUGCUAAAUCCAUUUGCAUCUCAUAAAUUAUAUUGGCUCCAAAAUGAAGUGCUCCUGACAGCCUGAGGCAGGGUGUGGGUUCCACAGAAGCAUUGCCCUUGUUGUCUCCUCUCUAGGAGACCCUAGGAAAGAGCCCGCUUAUCUUCUAAGGGAGGAGGGAGGAACAGCCAAGCAUGACCUAGAUUCCAAAUCUAAAGACAGGUAAGGCCGGUUCACCUGCACAUCUGCAGCGGGCUGCAAGGCGAGGUUUCAGAGGUGCCCCACAGAAGGAGGUUCCCUUGUGGCUCAUGGGGGACAUGGCCAUCUUCUUCCUCAGUCAGUUAAGAAAGAACACACGUUAGGCUAGCGGGGUCCCUUGAUCUUCCUGGUGCCUCUUGGGGGAUACUACCUGGGUGGGAGGUAGGGGGGUGGUUGACAGCAAAGGUAAAUGAUUCUUGUGGAGGUAAGGGAGGGGUGCCUGACAAGUGAGUGGGGUGUGGAGGUGGUAGUUCAGACACCAGGGUGCCCAGAAACCAGAAACAAUGGGUUCUCACCCUCCCUUCCCAGCUCUGUGCAUCGGGGAAAGUCACCCGAUCUCUGAAGUUGCUUUUUCCUCCAUCCCUUCUUUCAACACACACUUCCUGAGCCUUCCCCUCCUUGUCAGGCCUAGAGUUCCCCCUCAGCCCUUGAAUUCUAGACAGUACACAGCAUACAUAGCUGCACGCGCUCACAGAAUGCCAGGCGGUGGCGAAGUCUAAGAUGAUAGAGUGUCAUUCAUGUGGGCCAGAGAGACCUACGGCUAUCGGUAAGGAAGAUGAAGGUUACAGACUCAGAGCCGGAGGAGCAGCAGCAGGCUGAGGGGGAUCUGCAGAGACAAGGGAAACCCACGAGCAGAACAUAGGGUGAGCUUCUGUCUCAUCAGACCACUGGCCGUGGGGCGUGGACUGAGGAUGCUAAAGGGAAGAAAAUAAACCUGGAAGGGAAGUGGCUUAGAAGCCAGGGCGAAUGACAAAGCCAUAUUCAGCUGUCACCUCCCUGGCUCUCUCUGUGUGCCCCACCCCCACCCCCCACCUCCAAGACACAGGUGGCUUCACCAUCCCAAAAGGUCAGCUGGCUGGGGUUUCACGAGCGGGCGGGCAUUCCAGCCCUGGGGGCCCCCACACAGGGAGCACACUGCCUGUGGUCAAGCCUCUCAGUUCCCAACCAGGACCAACUGCCCCGGGAACUCUGACCUGUGCAGGGGCAUCAGCUGCUGCCAGGGAGGGGUGGAGCUGGAGAGGGAGGGGAGAGGCAAGCUUGCCUCUGGCAACUGUCCUUGCCCAAGGGACCUGAGCCAUGCAUGGUAAGGGGUGUGAACACUCCAGGAAAGGAAGGAAAACACACACACACACACACACACACACACACACGUGUAAAUGUUUUUGUAAGCAUAUGCAUGUGUGACUUUUCAUUUCUGUAGCUUAAUUUCCCAUAUUGUUUUUUUUUCUUUUUUUUUUUUUUCUUUUUUUCUUUUUUUCGGAGCUGGAGUCCGAACCCAGGGCCUUGCGUUUGCUAGGCAAGCACUCUACCACUGAGCUAAAUCCCCAACCCCAAUUUCUCAUAUUGUAAGUAAGCGUGUAUUGGAAAAAGUUCUCAUACAUGAAGCAGAGUCAUAUAUGACUGUCGUCAUAUAUGAAGGGCAGUUCCACGGUUUGACCUCUGUGCCCUGUCUUUAGGCCCUGAUCGUUGUUCGAGAGGACUCCACUGUGGGAUCCACUUUGUUAGGGUGCUAGGUAUGGAACUCCAGGAAGCACAUGCUGUUACCGGUUCUCUACCACUGAACGCUACCCAGCCCAUCCAUGAGGACAAAUUGCUUUAUGAUUUACUGACAGAAGCCAAAGGGAAUUUUGCAUUCCUCUUUUGUUUUAUUUGUUUAUUUAUUAUAGUGUUGAGGAUUUAACCGUGGUUGUCCUCCCUACUAAACGCGUGCUUUACCGGUGAGCCCAACCCACAGACUCUUUUCCACUUUCUGAGACCAGGUUUCACUCAGUUGCCCAAGCUGGCCUUGAAUUUGCCACCCACCCUCCAGGCCUCAACUUUCCAGCUCCCUGGAAUUGCUUUUAAGAUUAGAAAUGGGUGGGGGUGGAGCUUGGCCCUCUCCCCAGAGGGAACCUUGCAGACAGGGUGCAAAGCCCCGCACUCAGCACUUUUCGCCCCUGUCCCUUCCCCUUUUACUUCCGGGCAUGAGGACAUGACUUGGGACCCUGCCUUUCUCUUCCAGGGAGUACGCUGUGCUUUUCUCUUCUGGGUCAGUGUCCCACAGUGCCCGGUGCAGUGGUCUCAAACGGGGACUCCUCUGGGUUUCUUCCUUUGUUCCUGUAAGGAAAAUGACAAAGCACUGCGAGCCAGGCUGGGCCCAACUUGGACAGCCCAUCACCAGUGUGCAGACUCAGCUGAGAAAUACACUCCUUCCCAGGCUUUCUGUGGGCACAGGCGGCGUACUGAAGGCUGUCAAGUGGCGGCGAGGAAGCCAGCCUCAUCCCCAGCCGCUGUGCCAGCCAGCCCAGCAGCGAACAAUUCCUGUAAGCAGAAAUCAGCCCUCCCUGUUCAGUCACAAAAGCAGGGCUGCCUUUCAGAUGGGACCAGCGGAGGAGUGUUUCAGAAAUAAAGGAAGUAACCUUUACAUCUUGGGGGAAGUUUAAAGAUACCCAGAGAAUGAAAUCUCAGAUUCCGCUGUCCUGAAAGCCCGAGGCUGGUCGUGAUCCUCUGCCUUUGUUCCCCUCCUUUGUCUUGGUUACGCGUGCCUGGCCACACUCUACCUGUGGUUUUAUUGUCUCCCUCAUGGAAGCUGGCAGGGCAUAAAUCAAAAACAGGAAGGUGAAUCCAAACAGCCAGCCGCUUCUCCUGGCUUCUUCCCUAGGCUCUUCCUGUGGUCUGAGCCUGGGUCUAACAACACCGAGUCCGGCCUCUUGGGAGUCUCCUCUAUGAAGCUGUCUCCAUUCCUCCUGCUGGGCACAUGAUGCCAGAAGUGGCUGGUCUACAGGCGGGUGGUGGCUGCAGCGGAAGCAGGGUUGCCUGACUUGUGGAGAGGCUCCAAGGCAGGAUUGUAAUAUCCUGGCCAAAAGAUAGAAAAGGAAUGUUUUCUAUACCCGAGUCCAGCUGUGGAGGGAAACCAGUGCUGUGCCAAAGCACCCACCUCCAGACCCUGUACUUAUUUGGAAGGGCAGCCACAAAGAAGAACCUUCAUCCGAAGUCAAGGUCAAUGUACUGUCCUAAGCCAUUAGCCUUGCAUAGAUUAGUGGGUUAAUACAGAGCUGUCUCGACAGAUGAAUUACACCCAGAAGCUGAGUAGGAGUCCUUGGGCUUGACAUUGAAAGGUCCAGUUAUCAUAGGGAGAGUGAUGCCUGCUUAAUUUUGAUAGGGCUUAAUUAUUGUGAUAAAUGUCCUUGGACUUUAACUCCUUCCUUACCUAUGGACCAUACACUUGUGUCUCCCAAGGAUUCACAUAUGGUAACUAACCCAAAGGGACGGUAUGUGAGGGUCCCUUUGGGAGGUGAUCAAGUUUGAGUGAGUUGACUAGAAGUCAUAGUUCGAUCAGAAGAGAAAGGUUAGAGUUUUCUUUCUUCCCAAUAUGAAGAUGCAAGAGAAGGUAGCUGUCUUCAAACCAGAAAGCCGACCCUACCAGGCACGAGAUCUGCUGUUGACUUGAUCUUGGACUUUUCCAGCACUAUGAGAAAACAAUGUCUGCUGUUUAAUAUGCCCAAGUCUGCAGUGUCUUGUUAUAACUCCUUAAACUAAUGCAGAACCAACAGAAGAUAUAUAAGAGAAGCUAGGGACAGGAGACAUGGGUGCUUGCUGCCAAUCCUGACGACCCUAGUUCAGUCCCCAGGAACCACAUGGUACCAGGAGAAAACUGACUCCCACGGAUUGUCCUCUGACCUCUACACACACACCAAGGCAUGUGCAUGCAUGUGUAUACUCGACCACCAUACACAAUAAUCAAAUAGAUAAAUAUGACUUUAAAAUAUUUUAAAGAAAGCCAUAAUAUGGAAGUGGUUUAUACAGGCCAAAGUGCACCACAGUCUGCCACUUACUAAGUGGAAACACAAGAAUGCUGGGGUGGGACUUAUGAGUCUGAAGGCCUGUGAUCCAAGGAAGCUAAUGGUGUAAGUCUCCUUCAGAAGUAAAGACUGAGCACUAGGGGUUCAGGAAGAAGGUGGGAGAAGGCCUUUUGCUGAAGGAGUACACCUCAGGGAUAAAGGGAAAUCAGAAUUCACUUUACCACGCUUUUCACUCAAAGGCCAUCACCACUUAGAUGAUGCUGUCGUGUUGGUGAGGAUGGAUCUACUGACUCAGAUGCUAACCUCAGUCACACCUGGAAUGUUUUACCGACUUCAUGGGAAUCCCUUAGCCCAGACUCACUGACAGACAAUAUUUACAGACACGGAGUGUCAGAAUGAGAACCAGAAAAUCACCGGGAUGGAUAAGAGAGGGCUGGUCCCUUCCCUUCCCAGUCACCCCUGCGAGAGUUCACAGACGAUAAAUCUACCCCUAUGUAUCUCAAAAAGAUACAUCCUUAUCAUCUGUGCUUGAUCCUGAAAUUGAUCAGAAGAAAUUAGAUAUUGUUUUGGAACAAACAUAUAAUUGAAAUAAUAGAACCUCAAAAGAUAUGGGAGCCAGGUAUAUACAAUGCCAGAAAAUGCAGAAAGCUCUUCUGUCUUCUGCAAAAAUUCUACCUCUGUGUGUGUGUGUGUGUGUGUGUGUGUGUGUGUGUGUGUGUGUGUGUGUUUGGAGGUCAUAGGAAAACAAGAUGUCAUUUUUCUCAAGUGUGGUCUACCUCAUUUUGUGAGAUGGGGUUUCUUACUGGCCUGGCACUCACCAAGUAGGCUGGACGUGAUGGCAGUGGGCUCUACGGAUCCACCAGUCUCUACCUCUCCAUUGCUGGAGUGAGAAAAGUACACAGCAGCAUACCACUCUUUUUGUGCGGGUACUGAGGAUAGAACUCAGGUCCCUGUGUUUGCAUGGUAAGCACUUAAUGAAGCCAUAUUCCCAACUUAUGUUCUUGCCUUCUGUCAUAAGUAGUUUUUGCCAUCUUGACACAAAUACAGAUAUUUGUUGUGCUGGCUAAUUUUCUGUCCAUUUGACCCAAGCUGAUGGUCCUAGGUGCUAGAAGAAAGCAGGCUUAUGAUCCAUAAAGAUCAAGUCUGUAAGGAGCCCCCCCCCCAUGGUGUCUGCAUCAGUUCCUGCCUCUAGAUUCCUGCCUUGAGUUUCUACCCUGACUACCGUGAGGAUGGAGUGGCAUGUGAAAGUGUGAGCAAAAGAAACCCUUUCUUCCCCACUAGCUUCGAUCAUGAUGUUCAUCACAGCAAUGGUAACCUAACUAGGAUAGAACUUGGUACCAGGAAUGGGGUAUUGUUGGGACAGACAUGACCAUGUUUUUAGGAUGAUUGUGGAAGGGCUUUGAAACUGGAUGAGAAAAGCCACUGAGUAUUGAGAACACAGUGGGAUUUUCUGGAGGAGUUUAGAGGAUACAAUGUUGAGAACAGUGCAGAUGAAGGAGGCCUGGCUUGUGAUGUUUCAGAGGGAAGCAAAUAUUCCACUGGGCCAUUUGUAUGAAGAAUCUGUAGUGUCUGUCUGGUCAGCUGGGGCUGAAAAAUCAGCCAUUUUUCAUCACAAGAGAAAAGGACUGCUAAAAUAAAACCAUUGUUUUGCUGGGACAAUGGAUUCUGGUAGGCUAGGCCUUAAGAAUCAUCUGUGAUUAAAAAGAGACCAGCAUCAGAGGUGAAGUCUUCUGGAAAGUGUUUCCUCAAAGAUAGCAUAUGCAAGCUGUAUUCCUGAAGUUGAUAAGGCUGUACCUUGUGGUGUCCUUGAACUUGGUAGUAAGAGUCACUGAGCUGGUACUGGUUCUGAAGGCAUGAAAGGGGUCAUGAACAGCAGCUGAGGCUGGGCACUGUGUGUGUUAGGAUUAGGGUCCCUAAAGAGAGCCCAGGAGAGGCUAUUGAUCAAAGUGCAAUCCAGUUGCUGCAGCAAGAAAAUCCCAGUGUUUUGGAAAUGCCAGUACCGUGGGUUGCCCACCAAGCAUAGCACCAGGGAUGGAGUGAAUUAGCCGGAGGCUGGAAAACCAGCCAUGUGUGCUGCUGCAGAGGAUAGAACAGAGAACUGAUCCAAACCCAGAAGACUGUGCGGGAAUCCCAGAUAUUGGACAUUGAGUUAUUUCCAUUAUUGGAGUUUGAGUUUGCUGUGUUCAGAUUAUGGUUCUUCCUUCUUUUUUUUUUUUUUUUUUUUUUUUUUUUGGUUCUUUUUUCCGGAGCUGGGGACCGAACCCAGGGCCUUGCGCUUCCUAGGUAAGCGCUCUACCACUGAGCUAAAUCCCCAGCCCCGGUUCUUCCUUCUUGAAAUAAGAAAAAAACUUUUGAUUUUAUAGACGCUCACAGUUGACAGAUUUAAAUUUAAAACAACAACAACAACAAUAACCUGGAGUUCUACAGAGACUUUGAGUUUUUGAAAUUGGAUAUUUUUAAAGAGACGACUUUUAAAGUGUUUGAAUUUGUAAAGCUCUGGGACUUUUAAUUUUUUAUUUUAAUAUAAGCAAAAUACUGUAUAUUGCAAUGUCUUUAUUGAUGUGUGAACUGGGGGAUGAAAAAGAAAGGAAAGGUUGCGACUUAACACGGAUAUGUUUGUGUGUCAAGUUGAUAAGCAAUCAGUUGUGCUGGCUAGUUUCAUGGCUACAAUCAUCUGAGAGGAGAGGACCUCAAUUGAGAAAAUGCCUCCAUAACAUCAGGCUGUAGACAAGGCUGUAGGGCAUAUCCUUGAUUGGUGAUUGAUGGGGGAGCGCCCAGCCCUUUAUGGGUGGUGCCAUAGGCUGGUGGCACUAGGUUCUAUAGGAAAGCAGGCUGAGCAAGCAAUGAGGAGCAAGCCAGUAAGCUGCACCCCUCCAUGGCCUCUGCAUCAGCUCCUGCCUCCAAGUUCCUGACUUCUUUUGAUGUUUGCACAGUGAUGUGGAAGUGUAAGUCAAAUAAACCCCUUUCCUCCUCUAGUUGGUUUUGGUCAUGGUGUUCACCACAGCAGUAGUAACCCUAACUAGAACACCAAGGAAAAUUAGUCACUAGGAUCAGAGAGGAGGACAAGGUUGUUGAGUGACCACAAAUCAACAGGUGCCCAUACCUAGUCCUCCUUGCUCUGGCUAAAAACGUUUCUCAGAAGUACUUCAAAUAUAGUUCGCAAAAAUAUUUCUCUGGUUCUCACUUGCCUUUCCAUUCCCCAGGCUCUGCCUUGGUGGUUGCAGGAAUGGCCAGCCCUACAGCCCACUCCACCUCUUGUGCUUUCUCUCAUCCAGGAGCACAUGUCGGUUUCUGCUCUCAUUCAAGACUUCCCUGUCGAUCACAGUGGGUCCCAGCGGAGCAUCAUCCGGGGCCCUGGCUUCAGGUGGCAUGUGGGCUAAGCAAGCUGUCUACAGGGGGCCCUCUGCUUCUAGGCCGUUGUGCUUUUUCCUCAUAAGACGCCCCCUCUUUCUGUGCUAUCCUGCACUCUCAUUUAUCCCUUUUCAAGUCACACGGGGCCUCUUUCUCAAGGCCUAGAUUCCUGGCAAACUCUCCGAGCUAUGAUUUCAGGACACCACACACCCUAGUGACUUGACUAUGGUUGGUCUCCAGCCUGGAUGGUCAGACCCCGGGAGGCAGGUGUGCUGGGCACAGCCUCAGACAAUAGAUGUCGCUUCCGGGCUAGUUCUCCCAGCCCCGCUGUAGACAUCACCAGGAGCCGGGGAAAAUCCCAGCCAGGCCUAUUUCGGGUUCCGUACAUCCUCACGUGUCCUCUUUGCCCAAGCUUCUUCCUCUCCAGAGAGUUCCUUAUCUACAACCUCCUGCCACCCAAAUCCAAACUGGAGGUGGCCCUGCUGGCCUAUUUCCUGCCUCUGCCACCUUGGAUCUGUGUCAGAGGCCGGUGUUUCAAACCAGGCUCUGAACUUCUUCCGGGUUCUGUGAAUUUGGCCAUUGUUUCCUUCGCUGCCAAGCCUUCGCUUCACCUCUUAAAUGAAGCUGUUGUUGUUGCUUGUUCUUUUAGUUAAAACUGAACAUGUCCCUUCCAACCUAUCCCCUUCCCCUGAGGAGUCUUUGUUAGUUCCUUCCAGUGGAGCUGGUGUGGCCAGAGCUGUUUCUGUCUGAAUUUACGAGCACAUGUAAGGUUGACCUAGUGCCAUAGCAAGAACCCCACACACUGCUCUCCUAUGCCUUGUGGAUCCCCCACCCCCACCAGCUGAUUUCUUUGCUUUUUCCUGUGGGGUGCUCCUGCCAUUGCUUGACUUGGCAAGGUAACAAGUGACCUGUAAGUCUGUUAGCUCCUACAACAGACAUUUAAAUUGUUCAGUGAGAUGGCUCAGCAGGUAAAGGCUUUUGGCAUCAAAUCUGAUGACCUGGAUUCCAGUUCGAGACUCACACAGUAGAAGGCGAGAACUGACUCCAUAAGUUGUCCAUUGACCUUCAUAUGCAUGCCCCCCCGAACACACACCCUAAAUAAAUGUAAUAUAUUGGGCCAAAGAGAUGGCUUAGUGGGUCAAAGUGCUUGACUAGAGUUUGAUUCCCAGAACCCAUGUAAAAAUUCUGGUGCAGUAAUAUACAUCUGUAAUUCCAAUGCACCUAUGGUUGGAUGGGAGGGAGGCAGAGAUAGGAGCAUUGGCCAGCAGCUCCAGGGCUGCCCAACUCGGAGUACCUGGAGGACAUAGUGCACAGGUAGAAGUAAGAGAGACCCUGCCUCAGAACAAAAUAGAAGGAGAGAGUCAACUCCAUGAAACUUGUCUUCUGACCUCCACAUGCAUGCCACAGUGUGCCUCUGUGUGUCUGUGCCUGUGCCUGUGCCUGUGCCUGUGCCUGUGCCUGUGCCUGUGCGUGUGUGUGUGUGUGUGCGUGUGUGUGUGUGUAUUCUGUGAUCAUUGUAGAUCUGCCAACAGCUACAAGAAAAAGCAGAGAAAUGCCACUUACCCAUUCCCUAGUUUCCCCCAAUGACAAAAUCCUCCAAAACUAUACACAGUUUUGCAACAAGGCUAUCAGCAUAGAAACAGUCAAGAGAUACCCAUAAUAUCCCAUUGAUGUUUUUAGAAUAUAACUAGUUCUCUCCUAAUCUCAACUUCCACCCCCUGCACUCUGUUCCUCACCCCAGGAAGUAUCAAAGAUGACUGCUAUUUCUAUAACUAUGUCACUUUAUGAAUGGCAUGCAAAUGAAGCCACACAGCACUUAACAUCUGGGCUGGCUUUUAUCUCAGCACAGUUGUCUUUGUGUAUCCAGGCUGUGUGUACCCAGGCUGUGUGUAUCCAGGUUGUGUGUAUCCAGGUUGUAUUCAAUCGGAUCGUAUAUAUCAACAGUUGGCUCCUUUUUUAUUGCUGGCUAAUAUUCCUUGAAAUGGAUGUACCCUGUACUACAGUCUGUUUAACCAUUCAUCACCUGAUUUGUUUACAGUGUUAGUACACAAUUUCUAAAAUUACUGUAAAUAUGUGUGGGCAAGUUUUAUUGGAAUAUACAUUCCCUUUCUCUAAAAUAAACACACAGAGAGUAGUGCUGAGCCAUGUGACAGUUGCAUGUUAUGCUAGUCUAUUGUAAUUUUAAUUAAUUAAUUAAUUAAUUAAUUUUUAGGGCUGGAGAGAUGGUUCAAAGGUUAAGGGCACUGACUGCUCUUCCAGAGGUCCUGAGUUCAAUUCCCAGCAGCUACACGGUAACUCACAACCAUCUGUAAUGGGGUUCAGUGCCCUCUUCUGGUGUGUCUGAAGACAGCAACAGUGUAUUCGCACACAUAAAAUAAAUAAAUAAAUCUUUUAAAAAAUUACCUUUUAAACAGAUACAAAAGAGCAUAAAAUGUACAUGGUUGGUGGGUGGCUUAUGAAAGCUGUUUAAACUGUAUAACAGUCAAGUCAGGUCAAAUAUAUCUAUUCACCAAAUAGAUAUAACUUUUAAUGAUAAAACCCUCUCAAUCCCCUUUUCUGGCUUUCUGAAACAAACAGCACACAAUUGGCCGGGCGGUAACUACCUGCCGCUUGGUAGAACAGCGGAGCUCCCUGCUGCUAUGUAAGGGUGACUUAGCUCUCAGUGGGCUGCCCUUGCACUUUCAUCUCCCCUCAGUUUGGGGGACUCCCAUUGUCCUCUCAAUUCCUAUGAGGUGAAUGUUUUAGAUUCCGCAUUGGAGUAUGCAGACAUCUCUCUGAGCCUGGAUUAUUUUACCUAACGAUAUCUCCAGUUCCAUCCACAUUUUCUUCCCCAAACGAAGCAUGCAUAGUUUUAAACCAAGCUCCUUUGCAGGGGCUGAGCCAUUUACACCCCUUCUACAUAACACAUCAGCAGUCCGGUCCUCCGCUGUAUUUCUCACCAUCCUUAUUUUUUGCCAUGCAGAGAACCAAGUGUAGGCCCCGCCUUCCAUGUGAACCGUCCCGACAGAUAAUGUGUUGGAAUCUCACUGGAGCUUCACCUUUUGUGUCCAUAAUGCCCAGGGCGUGUUGCUCUUGGUUCCCCCCGCCCCUGUGUUCUGAAAUGUCGUCAUAGAUUCUAAAUACGAGCUGACAUGAGAUAAGUGUUUCACAAGCAUUUUUCUCCCACCCUUGUGUCUUUUCAUCCUUAGCAAAAUCUUUCAUAAAGUUUUAAACUUUAAUAAAGUUCCAUUUAUCAGUUUCUCU
Long non-coding RNA from Rattus norvegicus (Norway rat), 12236 nucleotides. RefSeq lists it as uncharacterized. The record is from RefSeq and is a predicted model, not a curated record. NCBI's taxonomy places the organism in Eukaryota, Metazoa, Chordata, Mammalia, Rodentia, Muridae.